RNAcentral lists this ribosomal RNA (433 nucleotides) under uncultured bacterium. Its description in RNAcentral is "partial 16S ribosomal RNA". It matches the Rfam family "Bacterial small subunit ribosomal RNA", at positions 29 to 507 of the family's 1533-position model. The record is from RNAcentral.
AGCGAACGCUGGCGGCAGGCCUAACACAUGCCAGUCGAACGAACUCUUCGGAGUUAGUGGCGGACGGGUGAGUAACACGUGGGAACGUGCCUUUUGGUUCGGAGUAACUCAGGGAAACUUGUGCUAAUACCGAAUGUGCCCUUCGGGGGAAAGAUUUAUCGCCAUUAGAGCUGCCCGCGUCUGAUUAGCUAGUUGGUGAGGUAACGGCUCACCAAGGCGACGAUCAGUAGCUGGUCUGAGAGGAUGACCAGCCACACUGGGACUGAGACACGGCCCAGACUCCUACGGGAGGCAGCAGUGGGGAAUCUUGCGCAAUGGGCGAAAGCCUGACGCAGCCAUGCCGCGUGAAUGAUGAAGGUCUUAGGAUUGUAAAAUUCUUUCAACGGGGACGAUAAUGACGGUACCCGGAGAAGAAGCCCCGGCUAACUUCGUG